GGGUUCGAUUAUGGCUCAGAUUGAACUGGCGGGAUGCUUUACACAUGCAAGUCGAACGGCAGCACGGACUUCGGUCUGGUGGCGAGUGGCAACGGGUGAGUAAUGUAUCGGAACGUGCCUAGUAGCGGGGGAUAACACGCGGCGUAGCUAAUACCGCAUACGCCCUUAAAGGGAAAGCCAGGGGACCUUCGGGCCUCACUAUUGGAAACAGCCGAUAUCAGGAUUAGCUAGUUGGUGGGGUAACGGCUCACCAGAGCGGCGAUCUGUAACUGGUUUGAGGACGACCGGCACACACUGGACCAGACGGCCCAGACUCCUGCGGGAGGCAGCAGUAGGGCCUGGACAAUGGGGAAACCUGAUCCAGCCAUCCGCGUGUGCGAUAGAAGGCCUUCGGGUUGUAAAAACACUUUUGUGGCAGGAAAGAAACGGCACGGAUAAUACCCGUGCGGCUGACGGCACCUGCAGUGGCACCGGCUAACUACGUGCAGCAGCCGCGGUAACCGGCGGUGCAAGCGUUAAUCAGACCACUGGGCGUAAAGCGUGCGCAGGCGGUUCGGAAAGAAAGAUGAAAAUCGAGCUUAACUUUGGGAACUGCAUUUUUAACUACCGAGCUAGAAGGUAUGUCCAGAGGAGGUGGAAUUCCGCGUGUAGCAGUGAAAUGCGUAGAUAUGCCGGAGGAGCACCGUGGCGAAAAACAGCCUCCUGGGAUCAUACUGGCGCUCAUGCACCGAAAGCGUGGGAACAACCGGAUUAGAUACCCUGGUAGUCCGCCUAAACGAUGUCAACUAGCUGUUGGGGCCUUCGGGCCUUGGUAGCUGCAGCCUAACGCGUGGUUGUCUCUGGGAGAUACUGGUCGCAAGAUUAAAACUCGAAAGAUUGACGGGGACCCUACAAAGGCGGUGGAUGAUGUGGAUUGAGGAAUUCGAUGCCUUUACCGAAAGGCAACACCUACCUUGACGUAUCGGAAUCGAAGAGAUUUAGGUACUCCGCCAAGAGAACCGGAACACAAGGUGCCCUUGGCUGUCGUCAGCUGUUGUCGUGAGAUGUUGGGUUAAGUCCCUACGAGCGCAGCCCUUCACUGUCAAGUGGACAUGCUACAGAAAGAGGGCACUCUAAUGAGACUGCCGGUGACAAACCGGAGGAAGGUGAGGAUGACGAUAAGUCCUCAUGGCCCUUAUGGGUAGGGCUUCACACCGUCGCUUGCAAUGGUCGGGACAGAGGGUCGCAACCCGCGAGGGAGCCAAUCCCAGAAACCCGAUCGUAGUCCGGAUCGCAGUCUGCAACUCGACUGCGCGGCAGUCAGAAUCGUAGUAAUCGCGGAUCAGCAUGUCGCGGUGAAUACGUUCCCGGGUCUUGUACACACCGCCCGUCACACCGUGGGAGUGGGUUUUACCAGAGUAGUUAGCCCUAACCAUAAGGAAGGAGGCGAUUACCACGGUAGGAUUCAUGACUGGGGUGAAGUCGUAACAAAGGUAG
RNAcentral lists this ribosomal RNA (1476 nucleotides) under uncultured Bordetella sp. Its description in RNAcentral is "partial 16S-23S ribosomal RNA intergenic spacer". It matches the Rfam family "Bacterial small subunit ribosomal RNA". The record is from RNAcentral. Lineage: Bacteria; Pseudomonadati; Pseudomonadota; Betaproteobacteria; Burkholderiales; Alcaligenaceae.